UACGGAGGGUGCAAGCGUUAAUCGGAAUUACUGGGCGUAAAGGGCGCGUAGGCGGCUCGUCAAGCCGGAUGUGAAAGCCCCGGGCUCAACCCGGGAACGGCAUUCGGAACUGGCUGGCUAGAGUGCAGAAGAGGAGAGUGGAAUUCCAUGUGUAGCGGUGAAAUGCGCAGAGAUAUGGAGGAACACCAGUGGCGAAGGCGGCCUUCUGGACUGACACUGACGCUGAGGUGCGAAAGCGUGGGUAGCAAACAGG
This 253-nucleotide unclassified non-coding RNA is filed under the name uncultured Halomonadaceae bacterium. RNAcentral describes it as "contains 16S-23S intergenic spacer region". It matches the Rfam family "Bacterial small subunit ribosomal RNA", at positions 524 to 776 of the family's 1533-position model. Lineage: Bacteria; Pseudomonadati; Pseudomonadota; Gammaproteobacteria; Oceanospirillales; Halomonadaceae. The record is from RNAcentral.